RNAcentral lists this ribosomal RNA (914 nucleotides) under uncultured archaeon. Its description in RNAcentral is "bacterial SSU rRNA". It matches the Rfam family "Archaeal small subunit ribosomal RNA", at positions 1 to 922 of the family's 1478-position model. The record is from RNAcentral.
UUCCGGUUGAUCCUGCCGGACCUGACUGCUAUCGGAUUGAUACUAAGCCAUGCGAGUCAUUGUAGCAAUACAAGGCAGACGGCUCAGUAACGCGUAGUCAACCCACCCUAUGGACGGGAAUAACCUCGGGAAACUGAGUAUAAUGCCCGAUAGAACACUAUACCUGGAAUGGUUUGUGUUUCAAAUGAUUUAUUGCCAUAGGAUGGGACUGCGGCCUAUCAGUUUGUUGGUGAGGUAAUGGCCCACCAAGACUAUUACAGGUACGGGCUCUGAGAGGAGUGGCCCGGAGAUGGGUACUGAGACACGGACCCAGGCCCUAUGGGGCGCAGCAGGCGAGAAAACUUUGCAAUGUGCGAAAGCACGACAAGGUUAAUCCGAGUGGUUUCUGCUAAAGGAACCUUUUGUUAGUCCUAGAAACACUAACGAAUAAGGGGUGGGCAAGUUCUGGUGUCAGCCGCCGCGGUAAAACCAGCACCUCAAGUGGUCAGGAUGAUUAUUGGGCCUAAAGCAUCCGUAGCCUGCUCAGUAAGUUUUCGGUUAAAUCUGUACGCUCAACGUACAGGCUGUCGGGAAUACUGCAGAGCUAGGGAGUGGGAGAGGUAGACGGUACUCGGGAGGAAGUGGUAAAAUGCUUUGAUCUUUCGAUGACCACCUGUGGCGAAGGCGGUCUACCAGAACACGUCCGACGGUGAGGGAUGAAAGCUGGGGGAGCAAACCGGAUUAGAUACCCGGGUAGUCCCAGCUGUAAACUAUGCAAACUCAGUGAUGCAUUGGCUUGUGGCCAAUGCAGUGUUGCAGGGAAGCCGUUAAGUUUGCCGCCUGGGAAGUACGCACGCAAGUAUGAAACUUAAAGGAAUUGGCGGGGGAGCACCACAAGGGGUGAAGCCUGCGGUUCAAUUGGAGUCAACGCCGGG